RNAcentral lists this ribosomal RNA (406 nucleotides) under uncultured bacterium. RNAcentral describes it as "partial 16S ribosomal RNA". It matches the Rfam family "Bacterial small subunit ribosomal RNA", at positions 30 to 526 of the family's 1533-position model. The record is from RNAcentral.
AUUGAACGCUGGCGGCAGCCCUAACACAUGCAAGUCGAGCGAGCGGCUGCCGGGUGACUAAUGUAUGCGGAGCUGCCCGAUAGACGGGUAUACCUACUGGACACGGUCGCUAAUACCUCAUACUAUCGGAUGAACCCAUAUGGGAUUAGCUAGUAGGUGGGGUAAAGGCUCACCUAGGCGACGAUCUCUAGCUGGUCUGAGAGGAUGACCAGCCACACUGGGACUGAGACACGGCCCAGACGCCUACGGGAGGAAGCAGUGGGGAAUAUUGCACAAGGGGCGCAAGCCUGAUGCAGCCAUGCCGCUUGUAUGAAGAAGGCCUUAGGGUUGUAAAGUACUUUCAGCGGGGAGGCGUUACCCGCAGAAGAAGCACCGGCUAACUCCGUGCCAGCAGCCGCGGUAAUUC